This 72-nucleotide transfer RNA is filed under the name Cyrtodactylus brevipalmatus. Its description in RNAcentral is "tRNA-Asn". The record is from RNAcentral. Lineage: Eukaryota; Metazoa; Chordata; Lepidosauria; Squamata; Gekkonidae.
AGGCUGAAGCCCGCUGGAUAGGGUGACUAGUUGUUAACUGGGUUUUUACGGGAUCGAGGCCCGUCGGCCUAG